RNAcentral lists this ribosomal RNA (166 nucleotides) under uncultured bacterium. Its description in RNAcentral is "partial 16S rRNA". It matches the Rfam family "Bacterial small subunit ribosomal RNA", at positions 355 to 511 of the family's 1533-position model. The record is from RNAcentral.
UAGGGAAUUCUUCGGCAAUGGGGGCAACCCUGACCGAGCAACGCCGCGUGAGUGAAGAAGGUUUUCGGAUCGUAAAGCUCUGUUGUAAGAGAAGAACGUGUGUGAGAGUGGAAAGUUCACACAGUGACGGUAACUUACCAGAAAGGGACGGCUAACUACGUGCCAG